UACUCUGCUGUUCUCUCCACA
This 21-nucleotide microRNA is filed under the name Mus musculus (house mouse). Its description in RNAcentral is "mmu-miR-7094-3p". The record is from miRBase by way of RNAcentral. Lineage: Eukaryota; Metazoa; Chordata; Mammalia; Rodentia; Muridae.